RNAcentral lists this long non-coding RNA (540 nucleotides) under Parus major (Great Tit). RNAcentral's name for it is "lncRNA (ENSPMJG00000008847.1)". Lineage: Eukaryota; Metazoa; Chordata; Aves; Passeriformes; Paridae. The record is from RNAcentral.
CCUGGAGGGCCGGCGGAGAGAGGGAGGGAGGGGGCGGGCGGCUUCCCGCUGCCCUGUGUCGGCGGGAAGCGAUGGGAUCGCGGCGGUGCCCGGCGGAAGGCGAGUGCCGUAGGUGGGUCCUGCGCCCCCGACGGCCGCGGCGCCCGAGGUAGCCAACACCCUUGGCUGUGUGUAUUUUGGCUGAGAUGGUGAGGAAUGCUGCAACCCAAGUGUGAUUCCACCGCCAACUCCAUCGAUGCUUCAUACUGAGAAUGGGUCUGAGGGAGAUGGAAAAGACCUGCUGGGUUUCAGGGAGGGAGGCAGGCAAGCCAGAAGCACAGACAAAGGCCAACACAGAAGACCAGACAGACUAGAUUUAAGUCAAUCAAAACUUUAUGUAUAACUGAACGCGGAAAAAAUGAAACUAUGUACAGAAAAAAACUAUAUACAGAAAGAAAGAAGCCUCUACACCGCCUGUUCUCCAAGGUCCACCUGAGAGUUCCCUGAGCAGGAGAAGCACUCAUAAAUAAAUUGGAAAGUACAACCCUGGAUCGAGUUGCA